RNAcentral lists this ribosomal RNA (466 nucleotides) under Vreelandella stevensii. RNAcentral's name for it is "partial 16S ribosomal RNA". It matches the Rfam family "Bacterial small subunit ribosomal RNA", at positions 338 to 795 of the family's 1533-position model. The record is from RNAcentral. Lineage: Bacteria; Pseudomonadati; Pseudomonadota; Gammaproteobacteria; Oceanospirillales; Halomonadaceae.
CCUACGGGUGGCUGCAGUGGGGAAUAUUGGACAAUGGGCGAAAGCCUGAUCCAGCCAUGCCGCGUGUGUGAAGAAGGCCUUCGGGUUGUAAAGCACUUUCAGUGGGGAAGAAAGCCUUGGGGCUAAUACCCUCGAGGAAGGACAUCACCCACAGAAGAAGCACCGGCUAACUCCGUGCCAGCAGCCGCGGUAAUACGGAGGGUGCGAGCGUUAAUCGGAAUUACUGGGCGUAAAGCGCGCGUAGGCGGUCUGAUAAGCCGGUUGUGAAAGCCCCGGGCUCAACCUGGGAACGGCAUCCGGAACUGUCAGGCUAGAGUGCAGGAGAGGAAGGUAGAAUUCCCGGUGUAGCGGUGAAAUGCGUAGAGAUCGGGAGGAAUACCAGUGGCGAAGGCGGCUUUCUGGACUGACACUGACGCUGAGGUGCGAAAGCGUGGGUAGCAAACAGGAUUAGAUACCCCGUGUAGUC